Long non-coding RNA from Haliotis rubra (blacklip abalone), 219 nucleotides. RefSeq lists it as uncharacterized. NCBI's taxonomy places the organism in Eukaryota, Metazoa, Mollusca, Gastropoda, Lepetellida, Haliotidae. The record is from RefSeq and is a predicted model, not a curated record. The transcript has 3 exons.
UCUCCGACAUAACUGAUUCUCUACUUUCUGCAUCCUCCCUUGCAGAUUUGAAGUCAUGGCCAGAUACAUUUGAUUCAGAGUUUGGAGCAGACAAACUUACAGCCAUCACAGACCACUACAGAGAGUUCCUCACCGACCGUACUGACAUUGAGCUUGAUCUGAUUGACCAGGAGUGGAUGAGUCUAAAAACUAAGAUCUACAAUAGUCACAAGCCUUCAG